Cercocebus atys (sooty mangabey) is the source of this 120-nucleotide ribosomal RNA. NCBI's taxonomy places the organism in Eukaryota, Metazoa, Chordata, Mammalia, Primates, Cercopithecidae. The record is from Ensembl.
GUCUACAGUCCAUACCACCCUGAAUGUGACUAAUCUUUUCUGAUCUUGGAGGCUAAGCAGGUUCGGGCCUAGUUAGUACUUGCAUGAGAGAUUGGCUGGGAAUACCAGGUGCUGUAGGCU